UCAGAUGCGAAAGCGUGGGUAGCAAACAGGAUUAGAUACCCUGGUAGUCCACGCCGUAAACGCUGUCUACUUGGAGGUUGAGGUUUUAGACUUUGGCUUUCGGCGCUAACGCAUUAAGUAGACCGCCUGGGGAGUACGGCCGCAAGGUUAAAACUCAAAUGAAUUGACGGGGGCCCGCACAAGCGGUGGAGCAUGUGGUUUAAUUCGAUGCAACGCGAAGAACCUUACCUACUCUUGACAUCCAGCGAAGCCUUUAGAGAUAGAGGUGUGCCUUCGGGAGCGCUGAGACAGGUGCUGCAUGGCUGUCGUCAACUCGUGUUGUGAAAUGUUGGGUUAAGUCCCGCAACGAGCGCGACCCUUAUCCUUGUUUGCCAGCACAUAAUGGUGGGAACUCCAGGGAGACUGCCGGUGAUAAACCGGAGGAAGGUGGGGACGACGUCAAGUCAUCAUGGCCCUUACGAGUAGGGCUACACACGUGCUACAAUGGCAGAUACAGAGGGCAGCGAGACAGCGAUGUUUAGCGAAUCCCUUAAAGUUUGUCGUAGUCCGGAUUGGAGUCUGCAACUCGACUCCAUGAAGUCGGAAUCGCUAGUAAUCGUGGAUCAGAAUGCCACGGUGAAUACGUUCCCGGGCCUUGUACACACCGCCC
This 649-nucleotide ribosomal RNA is filed under the name uncultured bacterium. RNAcentral describes it as "bacterial SSU rRNA". It matches the Rfam family "Bacterial small subunit ribosomal RNA", at positions 747 to 1395 of the family's 1533-position model. The record is from RNAcentral.